GACGAACGCUGGCGGCGUGCCUAAUACAUGCAAGUCGAGCGAGCGGAACUAACAGAUUUACUUCGGUAAUGACGUUAGGAAAGCGAGCGGCGGACGGGUGAGUAACACGUGGGGAACCUGCCCCAUAGUCUGGGAUACCACCUGGAAACAGGCGCUAAUACCGGAUAAGAAAGCAGAUCGCAUGAUCAGCUUUUAAAAGGCGGCGUAAGCUGUCGCUAUGGGAUGGCCCCGCGGUGCAUUAGCUAGUUGGUAAGGUAAAGGCUUACCAAGGCGAUGAUGCAUAGCCGAGUUGAGAGACUGAUCGGCCACAUUGGGACUGAGACACGGCCCAAACUCCUACGGGAGGCAGCAGUAGGGAAUCUUCCACAAUGGACGCAAGUCUGAUGGAGCAACGCCGCGUGAGUGAAGAAGGUUUUCGGAUCGUAAAGCUCUGUUGUUGGUGAAGAAGGAUAGAGGUAGUAACUGGCCUUUAUUUGACGGUAAUCAACCAGAAAGUCACGGCUAACUACGUGCCAGCAGCCGCGGUAAUACGUAGGUGGCAAGCGUUGUCCGGAUUUAUUGGGCGUAAAGCGAGCGCAGGCGGAAGAAUAAGUCUGAUGUGAAAGCCCUCGGCUUAACCGAGGAACUGCAUCGGAAACUGUUAGUCUUGAGUGAGGUUGCAGUGGCUGGAAUGUGUAGUGUAGCGGUGAAAUGCUUAGAUAUUACGCAGAACACCAAUUGCGAAGGCAGGUCACUAAGCCUCAACUGACGCUGAUGGACGAAAGCGUGGGGAGCGAACAGGAUUAGAUACCCUGGUAGUCCACGCCGUGAACGAUGGAUACUUGCUGUUGGAUUUUCGGAUUCAGUGGCUAAGCGAAAGUUAUAAGUAUCCCACCUGGGGAGUACGUUCGCAAGAAUGAAACUCAAAGGAAUUGACGGGGGCCCGCACAAGCGGUGGAGCAUGUGGUUUAAUUCGAUGAUACGCGAGGAACCUUACCAAGGCUUAAAUGCAUAAUGACGUAUUUGGAAACAGAUAUUUCUUCGGACAGAAUGCAAGGUGCUGCAUGGCUGUCGUCAGCUCGUGCCGUGAGGUGUUAGGUUAAGUCCUGCAACGAGCGCAACCCCUAUCAUUAGUUGCCAGCGUUUAAAGACGGGGACUCUAAUGAGACUGCCGGUGCAAACCGCGAGGAAGGUGGGGACGACGUCAAGUCAUCACGGCCCUUACGUCUUGGGCUACACACGUGCUACAAUGGUAAGUACAGAGGGCAGCUACUUAGCAAUAAGAUGCGAAUCUCAAAAACUUAUCUCAGUUCGGAUUGGAGUCUGCAACUCGACUCUAUGAAGCUGGAAUCGCUAGUAAUCGCAUAUCAGCCAUGAUGCGGUGAAUACGUUCCCGGGCCU
RNAcentral lists this ribosomal RNA (1380 nucleotides) under uncultured bacterium. RNAcentral describes it as "partial 16S ribosomal RNA". It matches the Rfam family "Bacterial small subunit ribosomal RNA", at positions 28 to 1381 of the family's 1533-position model. The record is from RNAcentral.